Leopardus geoffroyi (Geoffroy's cat) is the source of this 2540-nucleotide long non-coding RNA. RefSeq lists it as uncharacterized. NCBI's taxonomy places the organism in Eukaryota, Metazoa, Chordata, Mammalia, Carnivora, Felidae. The record is from RefSeq and is a predicted model, not a curated record. The transcript is spliced from 2 exons.
CCCCGUGCCUCCCCCUGCUCCAUCAUUUCGCAGAUUUUUUUCUACUCAAAACCUCAGGGGCUGCCCACAGCCUGCUGGAGCAUUGCCAGCUCCUCAGCCUGAAGACAACUUUUGGCCUUUCUCCCCAGCACUGCUCCCACAAGGCUUCUGUGAUGAAGCCUCCCAGGCUCCUUGUCCUCACCCCCACCCAGCCCAGGCACCCCCGCAGCCCUGGAACCCUCCCCAGGCACCCAUCGCUGCCCACCUUGCCCAACACCGUCUGCGCCGGUGCCCUUGGCAGAGGUGUCCCAGGAAGGAGAUGGGGCUCCCAGGGAGGCCGAUGAGCUCGGUGCAGGCUGAGUUUUGUUUGAGGGACUCAGGGCAUCCAGGAGGCCACAUCUGUAUUUCCUUUCUGGGCUGGGAGCUCCCAGAGGGCAGAGUCCACGGUUGGCUCAGGUUGGCUCAUCCCUGCACGCACUCAGUUGACAUCUGCCAAGUAAACAAGUGAGGGGCAAAUCAAUGGCCCGAGGCCUGUGCUGGGGGAUUCAGGAAAGGGAUUGAGGAAUCUGAGCGAAGGGUCGGUCCUGUCUCGGCAGUGUGCCAGGCAGAGGGGCCGGCAGGACAGCAGGAGCUCCAGCCUCCCCACCCCCACCCUGCUGGUGGGUUUCACCCUCUCCCUUCAGCAGGAGAGAGGCCCAAGCAAAGCAUUUCAGAGGAGCUGGUCCAACAGCCUGCAUGACACAAGCAGGAGCAGGAGGGAGAAGCCGAAACCCUCUUCCUCUGAGCCAUCUCAUUCUUCAUGCUCUCCAGAUCCAAACAGGGACCCUGGGAAGGACCCAAUGCCUCCUCGGCUCCUUCAGGAAAAGCCCAGCACAAACCAUCCCAUCCUGAGCUCUGCAGUGGACCCACAGGCAAAGCCACCCAUUCUGUGGACCUACAAGGUUCAGUGUGCUAGGACUUCCUCCACGCCUGGGUGACUGCGGCCCCUGGGGGGUCCUCCAGGUAAGACAGGUAAGUACCAAGCCAGGCUGGCUCAGGGACUUCUGGGAAGUUUCGCUGACUUCCCUUAUUAUGGAAGCAGGAGGGCACUGAGAUGGGGGGAAGGGGCUUGUCUGCCACCUUUGUGGAGCUACUCAUUUGAACAGGGGCCGGGGAUGUUUCAUCAGGCUAAGCCAGCUUGAACUGCCUCCAAGCCCUGCUUUCCCGGUAACAACAGCAUCUGCUGAAAGCAGAAGGCAUUGUCAGAACAGACUGAAGGCCCAUGCCUGCAAGUUCAAAGUGGUCUGUCCCCAGAGGUCUCAUCUAAGAUGACAUCUUCUCGGGACUGGUGUUUUGUGACUCUUGGGGAGUCCCCAGUGGGAGCUGGGCGCACUGAUGCUGUGGACCAAGGACGGUGCUUUGGUCCGUAUGGGCCCGCCCCUCAGCAAGCAUGGAGGCUUCAUAAGGACCCCGUGUCAGAUUGACUAUCUGACUGCACCUCAGUCACAGCAGGAGGCUAAAAUGCUCCAAGGUCAAAGAGAAUCCGGGGAGGCUUGGGCCCUGAAGGGGAGCCGGUGCAGGUUCAAGCAGUCCCUUGCCUGGGAGUGCACUGCAAUCCCAGAUCUUCAAGGGGAGGCCCCCUACAAACCCCAGGUAAGAACCAGGUUGUGACCUUGGGUGGGUGGAGGGAGGGAUUACGAUGGGAUUUCUGCUUCCCACCUGCUUCCUGGGGCUCUCAGCUCCCUUCUUCCCUCUCCUCCCUUCAGGUCCUGGCUCUGCCUCCCCACGGAUCCAGGGAUCCAGCCAGCUGAGCCCUGGAGGGGUGCACCCACCUUCCCCCCCUGCUCUCCUGCCGGAGGAGAGCUGCAGUCUCCUUUGGAUCUUUUUGCGGUCUGGGCUUGCUGUUCCUCUCAACAGUAGUCAGGAAGCCCUUACCCCAAAAAGUAUCUGCGGGAGACCUUGUCUACAGGGGUGAUGCCCCCCCAAAGGGUCCAGGUGUGUCACAGACGAGGGACAGCAACAAGUGGGAGUCAUCAACCUAGCUUUCCCUUAGAGCUGCUGGUUGGCCUCAGGAAAAACGCUGAGCCUCUCUGUGCCUCACUGCUCUGCUACACAUUUAAUCAUUUAUCUGUGCACAGUGUCUAGUGGGAGGUUCCAUCAGGUAAGGAAAAAACAAGAGUGGCUCGGUUAAAGGUGUGGACACUGUGUUGGUGGCUUAGCUCCCAGCCUGCUGUCUCCUAUUGGUAGACCAUCUAUCUCCCUCUGGGCUCCUUUUGGGGAAUUGCCUCUCCCACCCCAUGGGCACACCUGGUGAGAUUGUCACUCAGAGCACCUUGCCUUGUCCUGCCCCCUCUGAUAGGAGACCCAAGACAGGCCUGGGAAUUGGAAUCCUGGAUGGAGGGACGCAAGACGGGGAACAAACUGAUCCCGGCAGCUGUGCUAAAGAGAAGACUGAGCUUGGGCCUUCUGCGUCCCCUGAACUGCCUAGCGUCCGCCCUUUCUUAGCCUGGACCUUCAAGUGCCCCCCUCCUGAAUCUGGCGAACCACCCCCAAAUCCUUCCAAUAAAAUCCUCAUGGCUUUA